CACGCCGUAAACGAUGUCAACUAGCCGUUGGGAGCCUUGAGCUCUUAGUGGCGCAGCUAACGCAUUAAGUUGACCGCCUGGGGAGUACGGCCGCAAGGUUAAAACUCAAAUGAAUUGACGGGGGCCCGCACAAGCGGUGGAGCAUGUGGUUUAAUUCGAAGCAACGCGAAGAACCUUACCAGGCCGUGACAUCCAAUGAACUUGCCAGAGAUGGAUUGGUGCCUUCGGGAACAUUGAGACAGGUGC
Molecule: ribosomal RNA, 246 nt
Filed under: uncultured bacterium
Lineage: Bacteria
Description: partial 16S ribosomal RNA
Rfam family: Bacterial small subunit ribosomal RNA
Source: RNAcentral